Molecule: ribosomal RNA, 253 nt
Filed under: uncultured bacterium
Lineage: Bacteria
Description: partial 16S ribosomal RNA
Rfam family: Bacterial small subunit ribosomal RNA
Source: RNAcentral
UACGAAUGGAGCGAGCGUUGUUCGGAAUCACUGGGCGUAAAGCGUGCGCAGGCGGUUUUGAAAGUUAGAAGUGAAAGCCCAGGGCUUAACCUUGGAAUUGCUUUUAAAACUUCAAGACUAGAGUACUGGAGGGGUUGGCGGAAUUUCGAGUGUAGCAGUGAAAUGCGUAGAUAUUCGAAGGAACACCGAUGGCGUAGGCAGCCAACUGGACAGUUACUGACGCUCAUGUACGAAAGCGUGGGGAUCAAACAGG